This 274-nucleotide ribosomal RNA is filed under the name uncultured bacterium. RNAcentral describes it as "partial 16S ribosomal RNA". It matches the Rfam family "Bacterial small subunit ribosomal RNA", at positions 523 to 796 of the family's 1533-position model. The record is from RNAcentral.
AUACGGAGGGUGCACGCGUUACUCGGAAUCACUGGGCGGAAAGCGCGCGCAGGCGGCUAUUUAAGUUGUAUGGGAAAGCCUACGGCUCAACCGUAGAACUGCAUCCAAAACUAUUUAGCUAGAGUGUGGGUGAGGAAGAUGGAAUUAGUUGUGUAGGGGUAAAAUCCGUAGAGAUAACUAGGAAUACCAAGAGCGAAGGCAAUCUUCUGGAACACUACUGACGCUGAGGCGCGAAAGCGUGGGGAGCAAACAGGAUUAGAAACCCCAGUAGUCC